Long non-coding RNA from Triticum aestivum (bread wheat), 2825 nucleotides. RefSeq lists it as uncharacterized. The transcript has 6 exons. The record is from RefSeq and is a predicted model, not a curated record. Lineage: Eukaryota; Viridiplantae; Streptophyta; Magnoliopsida; Poales; Poaceae.
AGGAAAAAAGAAGACAACACAGCGGAUCAACACGCCGUCUAUUCCUUCAUGGGGAGGCAACUCCCCUGCUGAGCCACCGCCUCCUCUCCCCUUCCCUCACAGCACCUUUUCUCCGCCGUCUUCCUUGCGCCUUUGACAGUCGUGCCCGGAGGAGGUCGUCACCGGCGCCCGCAUCCUCGGCUCCCGCCGCCGAUUUGCCCCGCAGACCUUCCCUUCUUCCCCUACUGCCGCUAGCGGCGACCCCAAGUGCGACCGUCGAUUGGCGGGCGAGGAAGAGGACCGCGCCCAAAUCGCCUCCAUUGUGAUUCGCGUCCACCUCCAACGACCGGCAGGACCCGUGAUAUGGCGACUCCCAGGGCGCUGCCGGAGGGUCCGACGAGGAAAUCGACCCGAGUAAAAAUCUUUAGAGGUCCAGUGCUCCAACAACUCUAUCAUCCAAUUUUCUGACCGGUACCAAGGUAAAGAUUGCUGGUGGAGCAGAUGGAGAGGACAGAGUCAAGCUGUGUGCUCUGAGAAAAAUGGAUGGUUGAUUUGUGGAAUUUAUGAUAGAUUUAAUGGACGUGAUGCAGCUGAUUUUCUAGCAGUAACUCUAUAUGAUAACAUAGUAUAUUACCUGUACUUGUUAGAGUGUCGUAUCAAGCAACAAGAUGUCCUAUAUAGCACAUCAGAGGACUCCCUUAAUGGGGUUAAAAGUUAAUUCGCAUUAGCCAUGGAAAUUGCAGAGAAUGAAGAUGUAAAACUUUCUGAAAGUUUUCGAGCUGGUGUGCUGAAUUGCCUCACUUCUGCUGUUGAGCAAGCUGAGAAUGAUUUCUUAUGCAUGGUUGAACAAGAUAUGGAUGAUAGACCAGAUUUAGUUUCAGUUUGAUCUUGUGUCCUGGUUGUGCUUCUUCAGGGAACAGAUUUGUGCAUUCUAAAUCUUGGGGAUAUAUAGUAGGGUUGUGCUUGCUUCCACGCCAUGAAUACUCUGUUGCUGCUGUUACACAUUACUCUUAUGGUUAUUGUUUGUUUUUCAUGCCCAUUGGUAUUCCAAGAGUAUCUGUUAUUAUAUUCAAAUUCAUGCUCAAAUAGAAAAUAUCACGGCAAUGGAAUUCUCCUUCUGGGUGUUUUGUAUGCGCCCGAAUUGCAGGACGACUUCUACCUCAACUUCGUGGAUUGGUCUUCGAACAAUGCCCUCUCGGUCGGAUUGGGGAAUUGCAUCUAUCGGUGGAAUGCAACAGCAAGUUGCAGCAAUCAAUUUUGCUCUAGCAGCACAGGAGUCCAGCCGGAGCCUUUUGUAACUUGCCAUGGCUGACUCUUUUCCCUCAGCACAAUAAGCCCUUCGCAAUCAUGUAUCUUGUCAGUGGUUGCUGCGAUAUCCUUUUCUAUAACCUCCAGAUCACUACCAGCUUUCUCCAAUGUUUUAUAUUAAGUUACGGAGGGACUAAUUGCCAACAUAGUUCAGAUUUUCCCUUACAAUAUCAUUUCUAUCAGAAUUUGUGGUUUUAGUUCAAUGUCAUCUGUUAGAGCAAAAAACAUGAGGUUAUUCAGGUUGAGUCCCACUCAAGUUGCUUGAUUUUAGGUUCUAAUUAUGGGCCUGGACAAAUUCAAAACAGAUAGCUUGCUUAAGAGGAAUCCCACAUGGAUGAUGUAACACAGGUUCGAUUUGCAUCAAACCAACAGAGUAAACUUAUUUCUGCGGCAGUGGAAGGAUUAAUGUGUGUCUUCGACACAUAUAGUGAUGGCCACCGCAACGGCGGGCAGCAUGGCGAUCAACACUGAGUCGUUGACCAUAACCAAGGUGGGCGAAAGCGGAAGGCCAUGGAGCUGGCGCAGGUCGUCACCAACGCCCUCUUCUCGCUGCCGGCCACCAAGGGCUAUGACGGCCCCGUCGUCUGCCUCCGGCGGCCCACCGAUCGCCUACCCGGCGAGAAGCAUAUAUCAAGGAGAAGACGUGCGUCAUUGCGCCAUCGACAGGAAGAGGCUGUUGUGUUUGUGUCGAAUAUUUUCUACUAGUUGGGUUACGUUUGGACUUGGUGUUGUAGUGUGGGUAGGAUACGUGUAGUGAUGCGGAGCAUCCUAUGGACAUCACCAUGUCAAGAGUCCGUUCGGCGAGUGACACGGGCGGCAUCUACUUCACAUACCCAAAGGUGAAUCAUCUCCUUUACACGUGUUCACUUGACACCUUCGAGGAUGGUAUACUACUUGACACUCCACUCAUGUGUAUGCAUAGGUAUUGUCGGAACACUACGGACGACGAGGAGGAGUGCAAGCGUCAAGGAACAACUACACCAUCCGUGAGGGAAGCCUGGAAGCGGAGACGAAAUAAACGGAGCUGCUGGAAGCUACAGUGGCCGGAUAUCUGGGCCAGAGGCCGGACAUCCGGCGCAUGCGCCGAAGAGCUUCAGUAGCCGGACAUCCGGCCGACCCCCGGACAUCCGGCGCCUGUCAACAGGCCGGACAUCCGGUAUCGCCCCGGAAAUCCAGACAACGGCUAUCCAUAGAAGAGCAAAACGGCCUGUUCUAGGUCGGACAUCCGGCCAGUGCCCCGGACAUCCGGUGUCUCACGAACGGCCGGACAUCCGGCCCCCAGCCCGGACAUCCGGCGCCUACCUGCGCGUAGAGUUGGGCCAGAGGCCCAUGUAUCUCUUUCCCACUUACCCCUUCGUGGCUUAGACUAUAUAUACUACCCCUCCUCCUAGUUAGGGUUAGCGUUGGUUUAGCUCAUUUGAGAGAUAGAGCUAUGCUCAUCCAUAUCGGAUCUCCUCCGUGCGAGAGACCGUGGCCUCUUCGGGGAAGAUCCCUUUGGAUUCAAGCCCCCUUUCUAAGGGAAGGUCCCCCCGUGGAUU